Molecule: ribosomal RNA, 253 nt
Filed under: uncultured bacterium
Lineage: Bacteria
Description: partial 16S ribosomal RNA
Rfam family: Bacterial small subunit ribosomal RNA
Source: RNAcentral
UACGAAGGGGGCGAGCGUUGUUCGGAAUUACUGGGCGUAAAGCGUGCGCAGGCGGUUCUAUAAGACAGAUGUGAAAUCCCCGGGCUCAACCUGGGAACUGCAUUUGUGACUGUAGAGCUGGAGUACGGUAGAGGGGGAUGGAAUUCCGCGUGUAGCAGUGAAAUGCGUAGAUAUGCGGAGGAACACCGAUGGCGAAGGCAAUCCCCUGGACCUGUACUGACGCUCAUGCACGAAAGCGUGGGGAGCAAACAGG